Molecule: ribosomal RNA, 483 nt
Filed under: uncultured Eubacteriales bacterium
Lineage: Bacteria; Bacillati; Bacillota; Clostridia; Eubacteriales
Description: uncultured Clostridiales bacterium partial 16S ribosomal RNA
Source: RNAcentral
CACAUAGUUAGCCGGAGCUUCCUCCUGAGGUACUGUCAUCUUCUUCCCUCACGACAAUAGUUUACAAUCCGAAAGCCUUCUUCCUAUACGCGGCGUCACUGCGUCAGAGUUUCCUCCAUUGCGCAAUAUUCCCGACUGCUGCCUCCCGUAGGAGUCUGGGCCGUAUCUCAGUCCCAAUGUGGCCGUUCAACCUCUCAGUUCGGCUACUGAUCGUCGCCUUGGUAGGCCGUUACCCCACCAACUAGCUAAUCAGGCGCAAGCCCAUCUAUCAGCGGAUUACUCCUUUUCUAGCUGUAUCAUGUGAUACUACUAGCUUAUGCGGUAUUAGCAAUGAUUUCUCACUGUUAUUCCCCUCUGAUAGGCAGGUUGCUUACGUGUUACUCACCAGUCCGCCACUAACCGCUCUCAAUCUAAAAAGAUGAGUUAAGUUCGUUCGACUUGCAUGUCUUAUGUGCGCCGCAGCGUUUAUCCCUAGCACGAGUA